Molecule: transfer RNA, 73 nt
Filed under: Sphaerobolus stellatus SS14
Lineage: Eukaryota; Fungi; Basidiomycota; Agaricomycetes; Geastrales; Sphaerobolaceae
Description: tRNA-Ile
Rfam family: tRNA
About the family: Transfer RNA (tRNA) molecules are approximately 80 nucleotides in length. Their secondary structure includes four short double-helical elements and three loops (D, anti-codon, and T loops).
Source: RNAcentral
GGGCUAUUAACUCAGUUGGUUGAGCGUGGUACUAAUAAUGCCAGCGUGACAGGUUCGACCCCUGUAUGGACAA